UGAUACUAGAUGUUGAGGUACGCCCAUU
RNAcentral lists this small RNA (28 nucleotides) under Bombyx mori (domestic silkworm). RNAcentral describes it as "ovarian small RNA-8273". The record is from RNAcentral. Lineage: Eukaryota; Metazoa; Arthropoda; Insecta; Lepidoptera; Bombycidae.